GGGCUUGGGGGUCUUAAAAAUGGUUCAGGUAGGGGAAUAAAGUGAAAAUGCCAUCUCUAUGGACCAUUCUCUGCUAUCUAUUUUUGACUCCUAAAUUCAUAUAUAGAAUGAAAUGAAUUCCCUGGCUCUUUCAAUUUCUGGGAAAGGCUCUUCAGGGUUGUAAGGAGGCCCCUCCUCCUAGAGAUUUGUUAGAGAGAUGGAUUUGGUAUACGAGGCGUAUUUAUGUUGUGUAUUUACUGUACCGCCUGCUGAUGGACAGAUAUGAUA
This 267-nucleotide long non-coding RNA is filed under the name Olea europaea (common olive). RNAcentral describes it as "long non-coding RNA (OEUR_LNC000138)". Lineage: Eukaryota; Viridiplantae; Streptophyta; Magnoliopsida; Lamiales; Oleaceae. The record is from RNAcentral.